UCGCAGCUUACGCUGGCAGUCUUGUUAGAGUCCUCAGCUUGACCUGUUAGUAACUAACAAUGUGGGUUGCGCUCGUUAUGGCACUUAAGCCGACACCUCACGGCACGAGCUGACGACAACCAUGCAGCACCUACACAUCUGCUAUUGCUAGAAUACGUGUUUCCACGUACGUCAGAUGCAUUUCAAGCCCGGGUAAGGUUCCUCGCGUAUCAUCGAAUUAAACCACAUGUUCCUCCGCUUGUGCGGGCCCCCGUCAAUUCCUUUGAGUUUCACCGUUGCCGGCGUACUCCCCAGGUGGAUUACUUAUCGCUUUCGCUUAGUCACUUGCUAUCAUAUCGCAAACAACUAGUAAUCAUAGUUUACUGCGUGGACUAC
This 375-nucleotide unclassified non-coding RNA is filed under the name uncultured Bacteroidales bacterium. RNAcentral's name for it is "contains 16S-23S intergenic spacer region". Lineage: Bacteria; Pseudomonadati; Bacteroidota; Bacteroidia; Bacteroidales. The record is from RNAcentral.